AUAGCUCAAUGGCACAGCACCUGCCUGGCAAGCACGAGGUCCUGAGUUCAAAUCCCAGU
RNAcentral lists this transfer RNA (59 nucleotides) under Cavia porcellus (domestic guinea pig). It matches the Rfam family "tRNA", at positions 7 to 64 of the family's 71-position model. From Rfam's summary of the family: Transfer RNA (tRNA) molecules are approximately 80 nucleotides in length. Their secondary structure includes four short double-helical elements and three loops (D, anti-codon, and T loops). Lineage: Eukaryota; Metazoa; Chordata; Mammalia; Rodentia; Caviidae. The record is from Rfam by way of RNAcentral.